CGCACAUUGCGCCCUCUGGUAUUCCGGGGGGCAUGUCUGUUCGAGCGUCGCAAAUAUAAGAUCAAGCUCUUUUGCUUGGAAUUGGGUGACACUUUGUCUGGUGCUCCCGCAAACGAAUGGCGGUCCACUUUGUGCCCUAACGCGUUGAAUCCUUCGUUAGCAAAGGCAUAUCAUUGGAUCAGUCUGACCUGACACGCCUGUGUCCGUAGAAUCGACCUCGGAUCAGAUAGGAAUACCCGCUGAACUUAA
RNAcentral lists this unclassified non-coding RNA (249 nucleotides) under Platygramme sp. RNAcentral's name for it is "partial contains 5.8S ribosomal RNA, internal transcribed spacer 2, and large subunit ribosomal RNA". The record is from RNAcentral. Lineage: Eukaryota; Fungi; Ascomycota; Lecanoromycetes; Ostropales; Graphidaceae.